Long non-coding RNA from Nothobranchius furzeri (turquoise killifish), 2484 nucleotides. Lineage: Eukaryota; Metazoa; Chordata; Actinopteri; Cyprinodontiformes; Nothobranchiidae. The record is from Ensembl.
AUGUGUGUAUGUAUAUUUUAUAUGUGUGUGUGUAUAUUUUAUAUGUGUGUAUGUAUAUUUUAUAUGUGUGUAUGUAUAUUUUAUAUGUGUGUGUGUGUAUUUUAUAUGUGUGUGUGUGUAUUUUAUAUGUGUGUGUGUAUAUUUUAUAUGUGUGUGUGUAUUUUAUGUGUGUGUGUGUGUGUGUAUUUUAUAUGUGUGUAUGUGUAUUUUAUAUGUGUGUAUGUAUAUUUUAUAUGUGUGUAUGUAUAUUUUAUAUGCGUGUUUGUGUGUGUGUGUAUUUUACAUGUGUGUGUGUAUAUUUCAUGUGUGUGUAUAUUUUAUAUGUGUGUGUAUAUUUUAUAUGUGUGUAUGUAUAUUUUAUAUGUGUGUGUGUGUAUUUUAUAUGUGUGUGUGUGUAUUUUAUAUGUGUGUGUGUGUAUUUUAUAUGUGUGUGUGUGUAUUUUAUAUGUGUGUGUGUGUAUUUUAUAUGUGUGUGUGUGUAUUUUAUAUGUGUGUAUGUGUAUUUUAUAUGUGUGUAUGUAUAUUUUAUAUGUGUGUAUGUAUAUUUUAUAUGCGUGUUUGUGUGUGUGUGUAUUUUACAUGUGUGUGUGUAUAUUUCAUGUGUGUGUAUAUUUUAUAUGUGUGUGUAUAUUUUAUAUGUGUGUAUGUAUAUUUUAUAUGUGUGUGUGUGUAUUUUAUAUGUGUGUGUGUGAUUUUUAUAUGUGUGUGUGUAUAUUUUAUAUGUGUGUGUGUGUGUAUUUUUAUAUAUGUGUGUGUAUGUUUUAUAUGUGUGUGUAUUUUAUAUGUGUGUGUGUGUGUGUGUAUUUUAUAUGUGUGUGUAUUUUAUAUGUGUGUGUGUAUUUUAUAUGUGUGUGUAUAUUUUAUAUGUGUGUGUGUGUAUAUUUUAUAUGUGUGUGUGUAUAUUUUAUAUGUGUGUGUAUAUUUUAUAUGUGUGUGUGUAUUUUAUAUGUGUGUGUGUGUGUAUUUUAUAUGUGUGUAUGUUUUAUAUGUGUGUGUGUAUUUUUAUGUGUGCGUGUAUUUUUAUAUGUGUGUGUGUAUAUUUUAUAUGUGUGUGUGUGUGUAUUUUUAUAUAUGUGUGUGUAUGUUUUAUAUGUGUGUGUAUUUUAUAUGUGUGUGUGUGUGUGUGUAUUUUAUAUGUGUGUGUAUUUUAUAUGUGUGUGUGUAUUUUAUAUGUGUGUGUAUAUUUUAUAUGUGUGUGUGUGUAUAUUUUAUAUGUGUGUGUGUAUAUUUUAUAUGUGUGUGUAUAUUUUAUAUGUGUGUGUGUAUUUUAUAUGUGUGUGUGUGUGUAUUUUAUAUGUGUGUAUGUUUUAUAUGUGUGUGUGUAUUUUUAUGUGUGCGUGUAUUUUUAUAUGUGUGUGUGUAUAUUUUAUAUGUGUGUGUGUGUGUAUUUUUAUAUAUGUGUGUGUAUGUUUUAUAUGUGUGUGUAUUUUAUAUGUGUGUGUGUGUGUGUGUAUUUUAUAUGUGUGUGUAUUUUAUAUGUGUGUGUGUAUUUUAUAUGUGUGUGUAUAUUUUAUAUGUGUGUGUGUGUAUAUUUUAUAUGUGUGUGUGUAUAUUUUAUAUGUGUGUGUAUAUUUUAUAUGUGUGUGUGUAUUUUAUAUGUGUGUGUGUGUGUAUUUUAUAUGUGUGUAUGUUUUAUAUGUGUGUGUGUAUUUUUAUGUGUGCGUGUAUUUUUAUAUGUGUGUGUGUAUAUUUUAUAUGUGUGUGUGUGUGUAUUUUUAUAUAUGUGUGUGUAUGUUUUAUAUGUGUGUGUAUUUUAUAUGUGUGUGUGUGUGUGUGUAUUUUAUAUGUGUGUGUAUUUUAUAUGUGUGUGUGUAUUUUAUAUGUGUGUGUAUAUUUUAUAUGUGUGUGUGUGUAUAUUUUAUAUGUGUGUGUGUAUAUUUUAUAUGUGUGUGUAUAUUUUAUAUGUGUGUGUGUAUUUUAUAUGUGUGUGUGUGUGUAUUUUAUAUGUGUGUAUGUUUUAUAUGUGUGUGUGUAUUUUUAUGUGUGCGUGUAUUUUUAUAUGUGUGUGUGUAUAUUUUAUAUGUGUGUGUGUGUGUAUUUUUAUAUAUGUGUGUGUAUGUUUUAUAUGUGUGUGUAUUUUAUAUGUGUGUGUGUGUGUGUGUAUUUUAUAUGUGUGUGUAUUUUAUAUGUGUGUGUGUAUUUUAUAUGUGUGUGUAUAUUUUAUAUGUGUGUGUGUGUAUAUUUUAUAUGUGUGUGUGUAUAUUUUAUAUGUGUGUGUAUAUUUUAUAUGUGUGUGUGUAUUUUAUAUGUGUGUGUGUGUGUAUUUUAUAUGUGUGUAUGUUUUAUAUGUGUGUGUGUAUUUUUAUGUGUGCGUGUAUUUUUAUAUGUGUGUGUGUAUUUUUAUAUAUGUGUGUGUAUGUUUUAUAUGUGUGUAUUUUAUAUGUGUUUGUAUAUUUUAUAUGUUUAAGAAUGGAGCUGGUAUUAUGGGAUGUUCUUCCUGCUCUUUUUCAAUCAUUGGCAUUCUGUAACAUCAGUCUCCUUUGA